Molecule: ribosomal RNA, 1107 nt
Filed under: Enterococcus sp. WTPin_39
Lineage: Bacteria; Bacillati; Bacillota; Bacilli; Lactobacillales; Enterococcaceae
Description: bacterial SSU rRNA
Rfam family: Bacterial small subunit ribosomal RNA
Source: RNAcentral
UGCAGUCGACGCUUCUUUUUCCACCGGAGCUUGCUCCACCGGAAAAAGAGGAGUGGCGAACGGGUGAGUAACACGUGGGUAACCUGCCCAUCAGAAGGGGAUAACACUUGGAAACAGGUGCUAAUACCGUAUAACAAUCRAAACCGCAUGGUUUUGAUUUGAAAGGCGCUUUCGGGUGUCGCUGAUGGAUGGACCCGCGGUGCAUUAGCUAGUUGGUGAGGUAACGGCUCACCAAGGCCACGAUGCAUAGCCGACCUGAGAGGGUGAUCGGCCACAUUGGGACUGAGACACGGCCCAAACUCCUACGGGAGGCAGCAGUAGGGAAUCUUCGGCAAUGGACGAAAGUCUGACCGAGCAACGCCGCGUGAGUGAAGAAGGUUUUCGGAUCGUAAAACUCUGUUGUUAGAGAAGAACAAGGAUGAGAGUAACUGUUCAUCCCUUGACGGUAUCUAACCAGAAAGCCACGGCUAACUACGUGCCAGCAGCCGCGGUAAUACGUAGGUGGCAAGCGUUGUCCGGAUUUAUUGGGCGUAAAGCGAGCGCAGGCGGUUUCUUAAGUCUGAUGUGAAAGCCCCCGGCUCAACCGGGGAGGGUCAUUGGAAACUGGGAGACUUGAGUGCAGAAGAGGAGAGUGGAAUUCCAUGUGUAGCGGUGAAAUGCGUAGAUAUAUGGAGGAACACCAGUGGCGAAGGCGGCUCUCUGGUCUGUAACUGACGCUGAGGCUCGAAAGCGUGGGGAGCAAACAGGAUUAGAUACCCUGGUAGUCCACGCCGUAAACGAUGAGUGCUAAGUGUUGGAGGGUUUCCGCCCUUCAGUGCUGCAGCUAACGCAUUAAGCACUCCGCCUGGGGAGUACGACCGCAAGGUUGAAACUCAAAGGAAUUGACGGGGGCCCGCACAAGCGGUGGAGCAUGUGGUUUAAUUCGAAGCAACGCGAAGAACCUUACCAGGUCUUGACAUCCUUUUGACCACUCUAGAGAUAGAGCUUCCCCUUCGGGGGCAAAGUGACAGGUGGUGCAUGGUUGUCGUCAGCUCGUGUCGUGAGAUGUUGGUUAAGUCCCGCAACGAGCGCAACCCUUAUUGUUAGUUGCCAUCAUUCAGUUGGGCA